Molecule: ribosomal RNA, 496 nt
Filed under: uncultured soil bacterium
Lineage: Bacteria
Description: bacterial SSU rRNA
Rfam family: Bacterial small subunit ribosomal RNA
Source: RNAcentral
AGAUUGAACGCUGGCGGCAGGCCUAACACAUGCAAGUCGAGCGGCAGCACGGGUACUUGUACCUGGUGGCGAGCGGCGGACGGGUGAGUAAUGCCUAGGAAUCUGCCUGAUAGUGGGGGAUAACGUUCGGAAACGGACGCUAAUACCGCAUACGUCCUACGGGAGAAAGUGGGGGAUCUUCGGACCUCACGCUAUCAGAUGAGCCUAGGUCGGAUUAGCUAGUUGGUAGGGUAAAGGCCUACCAAGGCUACGAUCCGUAACUGGUCUGAGAGGAUGAUCAGUCACACUGGAACUGAGACACGGUCCAGACUCCUACGGGAGGCAGCAGUGGGGAAUAUUGGACAAUGGGCGAAAGCCUGAUCCAGCCAUGCCGCGUGUGUGAAGAAGGUCUUCGGAUUGUAAAGCACUUUAAGUUGGAGAAGGCAUUAACCUAAUACGUUAGUGUUUUGACGUUACGACAGAAUAAGCAACCGGCUAAACUCUGUGCCAGCAGCCG